ACGUGUUCGUUCGGCCGCUCGGGUCGGCCCUGCACCGGCGGAGACGCCGUGCUGCGGGCUCCCGGGCGCGCCUUCCAAACCAAACCCCUGUGAACCUUUGGGAGGGCCGAGCCCCCGCUCCGGCGGGCGCGACGCCGUCCCCUUACAAACUCUUCGUAUCUUAGAAUGACCGCGGACCUCGUCCGCCUAAACACAUAA
RNAcentral lists this unclassified non-coding RNA (198 nucleotides) under uncultured Trechisporales. RNAcentral's name for it is "sequence contains ITS1". Lineage: Eukaryota; Fungi; Basidiomycota; Agaricomycetes; Trechisporales. The record is from RNAcentral.